CAUCUUCUUCAUUCCCCAGCCGAAAACAGCCACCAGUUUCUUCCUUUCUUGCUUCAAAAAAAAAUACAAAAGCUGCCCGUGGUCAUGGUGAUCUUGUUUCUCCAAAUUUUCUUGCUAGCGACCAAGAAAUAGUAUAAAUGCUUAGAUAGCUGAAGAUUAUCCAUGGAAUGCAAAAACAAUGGAAAAGUUCGACUUUAUUCCCAAUUUCAGUAUUAGGUUUUCUGUUACUUUAUUAAUGAAAUUAGGGAUUUCUGAGUAUUUUUUGUGGUUUUUGUUUUUGGGGUUUAGCAAUGGGAAUCCAGUGGAAUCAAUGGAUAUAGAUUAAACGGGUGAUGAAGAUCAGGAAUUGAUGUUCUUGUGCAUGUGAUAGUGGUGGUGGUGGUAAAGAGUGGAAUGAGUCGGAUGCUGGUAGUGGUGAAGAGGGGAGUGAGAUAUAAUUGGAUGCGCAGGUAAAUUCUCCCUUCAAAAUUAUCUUGUUUCUAGGCUACUUAGCUAAGGCUAAAGGUCCAUUUAAUUGUAAUUCCGAUAAAAAGAUCUAUUAGUAAGCAUCUAAAUCUAUCAAUCGCUGGAGCGUGCUUCAAAAAAUAAAAAAAAAUCACUGUAACGUGAUAAGCAUCAUCGACAUAAAUGAUUAUCCCACUAUUUUUAGAUUUCACUUGAAUGUAAUGGGAAAAAAAUUUGAUCUGUUAUUUAUGAAGCUGAUACUAAAAGCUUAGAUUCUUAUGGAAAAAAGUAAUGGUCGGUGGCCAGAAAUUGUAGUUUGUACUAAUACAUAACCUGUGCUACGCACCGGAUCAGAUGGGAGUUGAUUUAUUUUUAGAUUUGAAUCGGAUUCAGUUGUUUGAUUGUAUUAGGUUUAUUUGAUUAUGUAAUAGCUUUGUGCAAUGGGGUUUCUGUAGAUGUUUGAUUAAUGGGGUUUCAACAGUGGCGUUUUAACAAAUGUUUGAAUUGUUUGAUUAA
Papaver somniferum (opium poppy) is the source of this 960-nucleotide long non-coding RNA. RefSeq lists it as uncharacterized. NCBI's taxonomy places the organism in Eukaryota, Viridiplantae, Streptophyta, Magnoliopsida, Ranunculales, Papaveraceae. The transcript has 2 exons. The record is from RefSeq and is a predicted model, not a curated record.